RNAcentral lists this long non-coding RNA (213 nucleotides) under Nicotiana benthamiana. RNAcentral describes it as "long non-coding RNA (NBEN_LNC000425)". The record is from RNAcentral. Lineage: Eukaryota; Viridiplantae; Streptophyta; Magnoliopsida; Solanales; Solanaceae.
UUCCAUACCUUGUAAUUGGAUUGAUUAAGCACCUCAAUUCCAAGGCCGACAACUCUUCCACUAGAAUCCAUUUUUGGAACGCCAACGAACUUCUUCACCAAGAGUGACUUGACAAGAUUCCAAACUAACACCCUUGUAGCUCUGAUACCAUGUGAAGAAAAAACAACUUCCCAAAUUCCGGAAAUUGCUUUCUUAGAGUAGUGGAUUAUGCUU